Molecule: ribosomal RNA, 775 nt
Filed under: uncultured bacterium
Lineage: Bacteria
Description: bacterial SSU rRNA
Rfam family: Bacterial small subunit ribosomal RNA
Source: RNAcentral
GCAAGUCGAGCGAUGAACUUUAACAGAACCCUUCGGGGCGAAGAUAAAGUGGAUUAGCGGCGGACGGGUGAGUAACACGUGAGUAACCUGCCUUAGACAUUGGGAUAGCCUCGGGAAACCGGGAUUAAUACCAAAUAAAAUCAUAAUGACACAUGUCAUAACGAUCAAAACUCCGGUGGUCUAAGAUGGACUCGCGUCCCAUUAGCUAGUUGGUAGAGUAAAAGCCUACCAAGGCGACGAUGGGUAGCCGGCCUGAGAGGGUGAACGGCCACAUUGGAACUGAGAAACGGUCCAAACUCCUACGGGAGGCAGCAGUGGGGAAUAUUGCACAAUGGAGGGAACUCUGAUGCAGCGACGCCGCGUGAACGAAGAAGGCUUUCGAGUCGUAAAGUUCUUUUAUAUGGGAAGAUAAUGACGGUACCAUAAGAAAAAGCCCCGGCUAACUACGUGCCAGCAGCCGCGGUAAUACGUAGGGGGCUAGCGUUGUCCGGAAUCACUGGGCGUAAAGGGUUCGCAGGCGGAAAUGCAAGUCAGAUGUAAAAGGCAGUAGCUUAACUACUGUAAGCAUUUGAAACUGCAUAUCUUGAGAAGAGUAGAGGUAAGUGGAAUUUUUAGUGUAGCGGUGAAAUGCGUAGAUAUUAAAAAGAAUACCGGUGGCGAAGGCGACUUACUGGGCUCAUUCUGACGCUGAGGAACGAAAGCGUGGGUAGCAAACAGGAUUAGAUACCCUGGUAGUCCACGCUGUAAACGAUGAGUGCUAGGUGUCGGCGAAUGU